UGGGGCGUAGCCAAGUGGUCCAAGGCACCGGUUUUUGAUACCGGCAUUCGCAGGUUCGAAUCCUGCCGCCCCAGCCA
This 77-nucleotide transfer RNA is filed under the name Alphaproteobacteria bacterium. Its description in RNAcentral is "tRNA-Gln". It matches the Rfam family "tRNA". Rfam says of the family: Transfer RNA (tRNA) molecules are approximately 80 nucleotides in length. Their secondary structure includes four short double-helical elements and three loops (D, anti-codon, and T loops). Lineage: Bacteria; Pseudomonadati; Pseudomonadota; Alphaproteobacteria. The record is from RNAcentral.